RNAcentral lists this ribosomal RNA (414 nucleotides) under uncultured microorganism. RNAcentral describes it as "bacterial SSU rRNA". It matches the Rfam family "Archaeal small subunit ribosomal RNA", at positions 459 to 872 of the family's 1478-position model. The record is from RNAcentral.
CAGCAGCCGCGGUAAUACCGGCGGCCCGAGUGGCGGUCACUAUUAUUGGGCUUAAAGCGUCCGUAGCCGGGGUGGGAAGUCCUCCGGGAAAUCUGGCCGCUUAACGGUCAGAAUGCCGGAGGAUACUCCCAGCCUAGGGAGCGGGGGAGGCCGAGGGGAUUCCCGGGGGAGGGGUGAAAUCCUAUAAUCCCAGGAGGACCACCAGUGGCGAAGGCGCCCGGCUGGCACGCGCCCGACGGUGAGGGACGAAAGCUGGGGGAGCAAAGGGGAUUAGAUACCCCCGUAGUCCCAGCUGUAAACGAUGCGGGCUAGAUGUUGGGCGGGCCUCGAGCCCGCCCAGUGUCGUAGGGAAGCCGUUAAGCCCGCCGCCUGGGGAGUACGGCCGCAAGGCUGAAACUUAAAGGAAUUGGCGGG